This 408-nucleotide ribosomal RNA is filed under the name uncultured microorganism. Its description in RNAcentral is "bacterial SSU rRNA". It matches the Rfam family "Bacterial small subunit ribosomal RNA", at positions 9 to 416 of the family's 1533-position model. The record is from RNAcentral.
GAGUUUGAUCGUGGCUCAGAUUGAACGCUGGCGGCAUGCCUUACACAUGCAAGUCGAACGGCAGCAUGAUCUAGCUUGCUAGAUUGAUGGCGAGUGGCGAACGGGUGAGUAAUACAUCGGAACGUGCCCUGUAGUGGGGGAUAACUAGUCGAAAGAUUAGCUAAUACCGCAUACGACCUGAAGGUGAAAGUGGGGGACCGCAAGGCCUCAUGCUAUAGGAGCGGCCGAUGUCUGAUUAGCUAGUUGGUGGGUAAAGGCCCACCAAGGCGACGAUCAGUAGCUGGUCUGAGAGGACGAUCAGCCACACUGGGACUGAGACACGGCCCAGACUCCUACGGGAGGCAGCAGUGGGAAUUUGGACAAUGGGCGAAAGCCUGAUCCAGCAAUGCCGCGUGUGUGAAGAAGGCC